This 584-nucleotide ribosomal RNA is filed under the name uncultured bacterium. RNAcentral's name for it is "bacterial SSU rRNA". It matches the Rfam family "Bacterial small subunit ribosomal RNA", at positions 66 to 645 of the family's 1533-position model. The record is from RNAcentral.
ACAGGAAGCAGCUUGCUGCUUUGCUGACGAGUGGCGGACGGGUGAGUAAUGUCUGGGAAACUGCCUGAUGGAGGGGGAUAACUACUGGAAACGGUAGCUAAUACCGCAUAACGUCGCAAGACCAAAGAGGGGGACCUUCGGGCCUCUUGCCAUCGGAUGUGCCCAGAUGGGAUUAGCUAGUAGGUGGGGUAACGGCUCACCUAGGCGACGAUCCCUAGCUGGUCUGAGAGGAUGACCAGCCACACUGGAACUGAGACACGGUCCAGACUCCUACGGGAGGCAGCAGUGGGGAAUAUUGCACAAUGGGCGCAAGCCUGAUGCAGCCAUGCCGCGUGUAUGAAGAAGGCCUUCGGGUUGUAAAGUACUUUCAGCGGGGAGGAAGGUGUUGAGGUUAAUAACCUCAGCAAUUGACGUUACCCGCAGAAGAAGCACCGGCUAACUCCGUGCCAGCAGCCGCGGUAAUACGGAGGGUGCAAGCGUUAAUCGGAAUUACUGGGCGUAAAGCGCACGCAGGCGGUCUGUCAAGUCGGAUGUGAAGUCCCCGGGCUCAACCUGGGAACUGCAUUCGAAACUGGCAGGCUAGA